ACCUGUUUUGGUUUACCCCUACUGUAACUCCUGAAAUGUGAAACCUAGAUAAAAGUUACUGCUGGGUUUUCUUGUUCAAAGAAGAGAAGAGAUUCUGUUCAUCUGUAGACAGUUAAUGCAUCCUCUUGACUUCUCAGGGUGUCUUUUCUCAAGGCUUGCUGUUACUCAUUUCAACACCCGAUUUUAUUUUAACGGUAAAGAGCUCAACAGUUAUCUUAGUUGAAAUUUUGUUUUGUUUUUGACAAAUGAAAACAAAUGAAUUGCUUUGUUUUUUCACAAAUGAAUUAUCACAUCAAAUGCAAUGAAGAUCCCAAGCUCUGGCAUCAGACUUGAUUCAAAUCCUGGUUCUAGGGCCUGGGUCAAGUAACUAGACUUUUCUGUUCCUUCAAUUCCUCAUCUAUGAAAUGAAGAUAAUCAAGACCUACCUCUUAAUAUAGCGGUGGAUCGAAUGUGCUAUGAUGAUGGAGGAUUUCUCACUGUGAGAGAAGUGAGCCACCAGAUAGAGAGGACACUCAAACAGCCCCAUGCAGAGGCCAAUAUAGAAAGGAUAAAAUAGCCAGCAUCAACUUACCGGCUUUGUAAG
Molecule: long non-coding RNA, 583 nt
Filed under: Homo sapiens (human)
Lineage: Eukaryota; Metazoa; Chordata; Mammalia; Primates; Hominidae
Description: non-protein coding lnc-RTKN2-2:6
Source: RNAcentral